UACAGAGGGGGCAAGCGUUGUUCGGAAUUACUGGGCGUAAAGGGCGCGUAGGCGGCCUUCUAAGUCGAACGUGAAAUCCCUGGGCUCAACCCAGGAACUGCGUCCGAUACUGGAAGGCUUGAAUCCGGGAGAGGGAUGCGGAAUUCCAGGUGUAGCGGUGAAAUGCGUAGAUAUCUGGAGGAACACCGGUGGCGAAGGCGGCAUCCUGGACCGGUAUUGACGCUGAGGCGCGAAAGCUAGGGGAGCAAACAGG
RNAcentral lists this ribosomal RNA (253 nucleotides) under uncultured bacterium. RNAcentral describes it as "partial 16S ribosomal RNA". It matches the Rfam family "Bacterial small subunit ribosomal RNA", at positions 524 to 776 of the family's 1533-position model. The record is from RNAcentral.